AGGGCAGUAGCUCAAUUGGUAGAGUCCCGGUCUCCAAAACCGGCGGUUGGGGGUUCGAGUCCCUCCUGCCCUGCGA
Molecule: transfer RNA, 76 nt
Filed under: Thermomonospora echinospora
Lineage: Bacteria; Bacillati; Actinomycetota; Actinomycetes; Streptosporangiales; Thermomonosporaceae
Also listed under: 3 other names
Description: Actinomadura echinospora tRNA_Trp_CCA
Rfam family: tRNA
About the family: Transfer RNA (tRNA) molecules are approximately 80 nucleotides in length.
Source: RNAcentral